Molecule: long non-coding RNA, 584 nt
Organism: Amphimedon queenslandica
Lineage: Eukaryota; Metazoa; Porifera; Demospongiae; Haplosclerida; Niphatidae
Exons: 2
Source: RefSeq, a predicted model, not a curated record
GCUAUCUUAUUCAGGCCACCUGUAUACCAGCAACGUUAUGGAGCCGUACUGGAACUAUCUAGAAAAAUAGAACCAAAGAAAGUAAUUGACAUGGGCUGUGCUGAAUGCAAGCUUCUCAAAUCAUUAAAGUUCCACAGACACAUUGAAUCACUUAUCGGUAUUGAUAUAAAUGAGUCUUUACUUCAAUCAAAUCAGACUCACUCCAACCACUCAUCACUGAUUAUCUACAUAGACGCAGUAGACCAUUGAAAAUACAAUUAUUUAAAGGUAAUAAAGAGAGCACAAUUAAUUUAUGAAGAUCAGCCUGUUAGGUACAAAUGCAUGGCCUUUAUAUACAGAAUCGUAGCCUUCCAUCAUUUUAUUCAUACUUAUGUAUUUCAUCAUUCCAUGCAUUCUUAUUGAUUAGUGGGAAAAGGCAAUAAUUGUUUAUUGUUUUUGUUUGACAUUUAUUUAGUUGUGGUUAUUAUUAUUAUUAUUAUUAUUAUUAUUAUUAUUAUUAUUAUUAUUAUUAUUAUUAUUAUUAUUAUUAUGAGAGAGAGAAGGAGAGAUGUGGGAAAAGGGGGAGAAACCCAUAAUCACAAAAA